UUGCUUUUUGCUGACGAGUGGCGAACGGGUGCGUAACGCGUAUGCAACCUACCUUCUUCUGAGGAAUAGCCCAGAGAAAUUUGGAUUAAAACCUCAUGAUAAUAUUUAUUCGCAUGUUUAAAUAUUUAAAAUUUCGAUGGAAGAAGAUGGGCAUGCGUAACAUUAGUUUGUUGGUGAGGUAAUGGCUCACCAAGACUACGAUGUUUAGGGGGUCUGAGAGGAUGAUCCCCCACACUGGUACUGAGACACGGACCAGACUCCUACGGGAGGCAGCAGUGAGGAAUAUUGGUCAAUGGACGAAAGUCUGAACCAGCCAUGCCGCGUGAAGGAUGACUGCCCUACGGGUUGUAAACUUCUUUUGUAUAGGAAGAAACCCCUCUACGUGUAGAGGGUUGACGGUACUAUUCGAAUAAGCACCGGCUAACUCCGUGCCAGCAGCCGCGGUAAUACGGAGGGUGCGAGCGUUAUCCGGAAUUAUUGGGUUUAAAGGGUGCGUAGGCGG
RNAcentral lists this ribosomal RNA (502 nucleotides) under uncultured Bacteroidota bacterium. Its description in RNAcentral is "bacterial SSU rRNA". It matches the Rfam family "Bacterial small subunit ribosomal RNA", at positions 78 to 578 of the family's 1533-position model. Lineage: Bacteria; Pseudomonadati; Bacteroidota. The record is from RNAcentral.